Non-coding RNA from Oryctolagus cuniculus (rabbit), 627 nucleotides. The record is from RefSeq and is a predicted model, not a curated record. NCBI's taxonomy places the organism in Eukaryota, Metazoa, Chordata, Mammalia, Lagomorpha, Leporidae.
UCUGGCGCCUUCCGCCACGCAGGCCCCGCCUCUGUGUCGUCAUGGUGCUGAGAACACACGGCGGGUUCGGGGCGCGGCAGGCGCCGCGGCUACUUCUGGAGAGUGAAGCUGCACAGUGACUACUGCCUUUCGAAGCAGCGCCUCUUUCUCGCUGCCUCCAGCCUUUCUGGAAACAAAGGAUGUAUGGCAGAAUUACAGAGACGCAGAGGCAGAGGGAGAGAGAUUUCCCAUCCGCUGGUUCACUCCCCAGAUGGCCACAAUGGCUGGAGCUGUGCCGAUCUGAAGCCAGGAGCCAGGAGCAUCUUCUGGGUCUCCCACCUAUAACAAGAUACCAGAUGACUCCACACUAUUUAUUAGAAACUUGGCUGCCAUCAAGACUAAGUGCUACAGUCACUUGACCUCCACUGUGCUGCCUUCCACCUGCAUUUCAUCAUCUGGUGAUAAGGAUGAACAUGGAUGAACAGAAGGCCCAUAAAUGGAGCAGGAAGUAGAUGAUGCUGAGAUGUGGAGAAAUGGAAAGUGCCACAGACCAGGAAUGAAGAAAUUUGGAGUUGGAGUCCUUGGUUCCACUUACUAGGCCAUGGAACAAGUCACCUCACUGUUCUGAGUCUCAGUUUCCUCAUAUGG